RNAcentral lists this ribosomal RNA (253 nucleotides) under uncultured bacterium. Its description in RNAcentral is "partial 16S ribosomal RNA". It matches the Rfam family "Bacterial small subunit ribosomal RNA", at positions 524 to 776 of the family's 1533-position model. The record is from RNAcentral.
UACGUAGGGUGCGAGCGUUGUCCGGAAUUAUUGGGCGUAAAGAGCGUGUAGGCGGCUAUACAGGUCCGCUGUGAAAACUCGAGGCUCAACCUCGAGACGUCGGUGGAAACCGUAUGGCUAGAGUCCGGAAGAGGAGAGUGGAAUUCCUGGUGUAGCGGUGAAAUGCGCAGAUAUCAGGAAGAACACCCGUGGCGAAGGCGGCUCUCUGGGACGGUACUGACGCUGAGACGCGAAAGCGUGGGGAGCGAACAGG